GAGGAGACACGCUCCCAGGCCACAGAGCAGGGCAUGCGUGCGCUGCUGGCCGUUGUGC
Molecule: non-coding RNA, 58 nt
Filed under: Karenia brevis
Lineage: Eukaryota; Dinophyceae; Gymnodiniales; Kareniaceae
Source: RNAcentral